Non-coding RNA from Lactuca sativa (garden lettuce), 2190 nucleotides. The record is from RefSeq and is a predicted model, not a curated record. NCBI's taxonomy places the organism in Eukaryota, Viridiplantae, Streptophyta, Magnoliopsida, Asterales, Asteraceae.
GGUAAAUUACACCAAUCGUCCCUCGUGCCCAUGCCAAAAAGCGUGUUUAGUCCCUAUUUUCAAAAAUUAACUCGGACCGUCCCUCGUUUGUUUAAAACUUGCACAUUUCAUCCCUCUGGACAUAAAAAGACUAUUUUGCCCUUAAAAAAUUCAUUUUUAAUUUUCUUUUAAUGCUUUAUCAUUUUUAUUUAAAAAAAAGAAGAAAAAAGUAUAUCAUGUACCCACCCUCCCUCUUCCCUUUCCCACCGUCCUUUCCUCUUAAUAGAAACCUCCCUAUCUCCGAUCAAAAUCAUCAGAUGAAUCAAUCACCGACGUAUUUUCCACAGCCACUUCAUUUUGGUUCCAAAAUCGUCUCACCACCUAUUCUCCUCCUCUUUACUCGACUCAAAAUCGGUCACACACACCAUGUAGAACCUCCUUCCCACCAUCUAACAACCUCCUGAAUCCACCAGUCAAACUCUAACCGUGGUUACGACACAAUCUAGAAGAAGAGAUUAUUUGUAGCGGUGAUGCUCAAUCUGAAACCCCCAAAAUGAAAUCCGUCAUGAAAUGCCCAAAGUUCUCAAUCUGAAACCACACAUUUCCCCGUAUAUAAAUCUGAAACCCUAGACACACAGGUGAAGAAGGAGAUCGUCGAUCGGAAAAAGAGGAUGGGAGAGAUGUAGUACAGGUGAUGGCGCUCGGGUGAAGAAGGAGAUCUUCAAUCUCGAAACCCUAGGUGGCGAUUCGAAACCCUGACUUAUGCUCUUGGUUGUUGAAGGUCGUCGAUGAGACAAGAGUUGUGCUUGGCGAAAGGUGGGUCACGAUGAAGAGGAUGGUUGAAUGGUGGAGAAGAUUACAAGAUUGUGAGCGGAGAAUAAGGGAUAUCUGAUGGCAAAACAAGGAGGAGAUAGAUGUCAUGGUUCUGUAAACAAUAAUAAUGGUGGUGAGUGGUGCUCCGACGACGGUGGCAGACGGUUUUCCGGCGAUGGUGGUGGUCGGUGGUCUAACGAUGUCCGCCCGGAAAGAAAAUGGUGGUGUUUGUGAUUUUUUGUGAGGGGACGAAGCGUGCAAGUGUUAAACAAACAAGGGACGGUCCGAGUUAAUUUUUGAAAAUAGGGACUAAACAUGCUUUCUGACAAGUACACGAGGGACGAUUGGUUGGUGUAAUUUACCCUAAAAAUUAUAAGGUCCGGUUUUCCAAAUAAAACCAUGUUCUAUGGCUUUAGGUCGUGAUUUUGAGGUAAAAUUUUGGGGUCCAAUCGAUUAAAAUCCAGACCGGUACGUACUCCUUAUCCCUCUUCUUCUCCAGUCCACUUCCGCAACCGACGACUUUGACCACCGCAUCGCCGCCUCAAACCCUUCUCCCGUGCCUCAACCGACCGCUCCAGUUCAUCAUGCCGACAAUCACAUCGCUUCGAGUGUGUUGAUUAUCAACGACAGCAAUCCACGCUACGUUGAGCAACAAAUAUGGAUUUGGCUCGGACUUUUUGCUCUCCGUGUAAAGAACUAGUAAGGAAGCACAGUGUAUCUAGACCACACAAGCAUCGGAGAUUCAAAAAUAGAUGCCAUCAUAAUUUGUGUGCAAGGGGAAUAUAUUCAUACCUCUACAAAACCUCUUGCAUUUUAUCAAAUAUACAUUGGGUCCUCUUGGUGAUUUGCCCUUCAAGUCGUGUCACAUAAAUUUUGGAUUCUCUCAUGAAGCCUAUGAAAAAUCCUCUUCCUGCUCAAACUUUUGGACAUGGCUUCUGCGAGGUAUGAAAAAACACAUAAACUCCAAUUGUAUGGAUGUUCGUUGAGGUAAUUUAUCUUAUUACUUAUCCAACAAUCAGAUGUUGUAGUUUCAUUUGUCUUGAUUAUGUUUCCUUUCUGCCAUAAUUUUAAUGAAACCAAGUUGGCGUAUCCGAGAGUUAGCUGAGUGGGCACUAUGUAAUGAAAUAGAUGUUUGAUUUUGUAAUGACUAGGCAAUAUGGAUUCCCGAAUAGAGGAAUUUCAGAAUAACUAUAUGAAUGAUGUUGUCUAAAAGUACAUAUAAGUGAGAAUGGAGGACGGCUUCUACACUUGAUUAUGUGACAAUUCUACUUCAAUGCAAUAACAAUUUAUUUUUUGAAAAAAAUUGAUGAAAGUUUUAUGUAGUAAGAUAUGAUCAAAUCAAGUUGUUUUUUUGUGACACGCAAACACGUUUAUAUUAAUGGCAAUAAUGAUUGGUUA